This 77-nucleotide transfer RNA is filed under the name Candidatus Liptonbacteria bacterium GWB1_49_6. Its description in RNAcentral is "tRNA-Lys". It matches the Rfam family "tRNA". From Rfam's summary of the family: Transfer RNA (tRNA) molecules are approximately 80 nucleotides in length. Their secondary structure includes four short double-helical elements and three loops (D, anti-codon, and T loops). Further hydrogen bonds mediate the characteristic L-shaped molecular structure. tRNAs have two regions of fundamental functional importance: the anti-codon, which is responsible for specific mRNA codon recognition, and the 3' end, to which the tRNAs corresponding amino acid is attached (by aminoacyl-tRNA synthetases). tRNAs cope with the degeneracy of the genetic code in two manners: having more than one tRNA (with a specific anti-codon) for a particular amino acid; and 'wobble' base-pairing, i.e. permitting non-standard base-pairing at the 3rd anti-codon position. The record is from RNAcentral. Lineage: Bacteria; Candidatus Liptoniibacteriota.
GCCCCUAUAGCUCAGUCUGGUAGAGCAGCUCCCUUUUAAGGAGAUGGUCCCAGGUUCAAAUCCUGGUGGGGGCACAA